RNAcentral lists this ribosomal RNA (97 nucleotides) under Azoarcus indigens. Lineage: Bacteria; Pseudomonadati; Pseudomonadota; Betaproteobacteria; Rhodocyclales; Zoogloeaceae. The record is from RNAcentral.
CUUGGUCCCACCCCUUCCCAUCCCGAACAGGACCGUGAAACAAGACCGCGCCGAUGAUAGUGAGAUGCGCUCUCGUGAAAGUAGGUCAUCGUCAGAC